RNAcentral lists this ribosomal RNA (199 nucleotides) under Limnospira fusiformis. RNAcentral describes it as "partial 23S ribosomal RNA". Lineage: Bacteria; Bacillati; Cyanobacteriota; Cyanophyceae; Oscillatoriales; Sirenicapillariaceae. The record is from RNAcentral. RNAcentral also lists the same sequence under 2 other names.
CUCUCCUUUGUGAUGGUGCUAGUUGGGGUGAGAUGAGAUGAGGUUACCUCUGAUAGAUAAUUUAUCACUGUACAGCUCCUAAAUCUUUAGAUAUUACUCUGAGAUUGGAUAGCUGGACAUCUGUUCCAGUCAGAACCUUGAAAACUGCAUAGAGAAAAGCAUAAUGGUGUAGGAAAACGUCGUAAAGACAAUUCCAAUG